UUAGUAAUAAGUUAAAUAAACUGUGUGGUUCAUGCCCAAAUAAUGAGAUGUAUUUUUCUCUUGCUAGA
Molecule: transfer RNA, 68 nt
Filed under: Vermiviatum covidum
Lineage: Eukaryota; Metazoa; Platyhelminthes; Tricladida; Geoplanidae
Description: tRNA-Met
Source: RNAcentral